This 301-nucleotide ribosomal RNA is filed under the name uncultured bacterium. RNAcentral describes it as "partial 16S ribosomal RNA". It matches the Rfam family "Bacterial small subunit ribosomal RNA", at positions 509 to 807 of the family's 1533-position model. The record is from RNAcentral.
CAGUAGCCGCGGUAAUACGAAGGGGGCUAGCGUUGUUCGGAAUUACUGGGCGUAAAGCGCACGUAGGCGGAUAUUUAAGUCAGGGGUGAAAUCCCAGAGCUCAACUCUGGAACUGCCUUUGAUACUGGGUAUCUUGAGUAUGGAAGAGGUGAGUGGAAUUCCGAGUGUAGAGGUGAAAUUCGUAGAUAUUCGGAGGAACACCAGUGGCGAAGGCGGCUCACUGGUCCAUUACUGACGCUGAGGUGCGAAAGCGUGGGGAGCAAACAGGAUUAGAUACCCGAGUAGUCCCUGUCUCUUAUAC